UACGUAGGUCCCGAGCGUUGUCCGGAUUUAUUGGGCGUAAAGCGAGCGCAGGUGGUUUAUUAAGUCUGGUGUAAAAGGCAGUGGCUCAACCAUUGUAUGCAUUGGAAACUGGUAGACUUGAGUGCAGGAGAGGAGAGUGGAAUUCCAUGUGUAGCGGUGAAAUGCGUAGAUAUAUGGAGGAGCAUCAGUGGCGAAGGCGGCCACCUGGACCGGUAUUGACGCUGAGGCGCGAAAGCGUGGGGAGCAAACAGG
RNAcentral lists this ribosomal RNA (252 nucleotides) under uncultured bacterium. Its description in RNAcentral is "partial 16S ribosomal RNA". It matches the Rfam family "Bacterial small subunit ribosomal RNA", at positions 524 to 776 of the family's 1533-position model. The record is from RNAcentral.